CGGAGGGGCGUAGCGUUGUUCGGAAUUACUGGGCGUAAAGCGCACGUAGGCGGCUUUGUAAGUUAGAGGUGAAAGCCCAGAGCUCAACUCUGGAACUGCCUUUAAGACUGCAUCGCUUGAAUCAUGGAGAGGUUAGUGGAAUUCCGAGUGUAGAGGUGAAAUUCGUAGAUAUUCGGAAGAACACCAGUGGCGAAGGCGACUAACUGGACAUGUAUUGACGCUGAGGUGCGAAAGCGUGGGGGAGCAAACAGGAUU
Molecule: ribosomal RNA, 255 nt
Filed under: uncultured bacterium
Lineage: Bacteria
Description: partial 16S ribosomal RNA
Rfam family: Bacterial small subunit ribosomal RNA
Source: RNAcentral